Molecule: ribosomal RNA, 640 nt
Filed under: uncultured bacterium
Lineage: Bacteria
Description: bacterial SSU rRNA
Rfam family: Bacterial small subunit ribosomal RNA
Source: RNAcentral
GAAAGAUUCAUCGGAAGAGGAUGGGCGUGCGGCGCAUUAGCUUGACGGCGGGGUAACGGCCCACCGUGGCGACGAUGCGUAGGGGUUCUGAGAGGAAGGUCCCCCACACUGGUACUGAGACACGGACCAGACUCCUACGGGAGGCAGCAGUGAGGAAUAUUGGUCAAUGGGAGAGAUCCUGAACCAGCCAAGCCGCGUGAGGGAAGACGGCCCUAUGGGUUGUAAACCUCUUUUGUCGGAGAACAAAACCCGGGACGUGUCCCGGACUGCGUGUAUCCGAAGAAAAAGCAUCGGCUAACUCCGUGCCAGCAGCCGCGGUAAUACGGAGGAUGCGAGCGUUAUCCGGAUUUAUUGGGUUUAAAGGGUGCGUAGGCGGUCUGUUAAGUCAGCGGUAAAAUUGCGGGGCUCAACCCCGUCGAGCCGUUGAAACUGGCAGACUUGAGUUGGCGAGAAGUACGCGGAAUGCGCGGUGUAGCGGUGAAAUGCAUAGAUAUCGCGCAGAACUCCGAUUGCGAAGGCAGCGUACCGGCGCCAGACUGACGCUGAGGCACGAAAGCGUGGGGAUCGAACAGGAUUAGAUACCCUGGUAGUCCACGCAGUAAACGAUGAAUGCUGGUUGUCCGGGUCGAAUGAGACCUGG